UUUUUAUUGAGAGUUUGAUCCUGGCUCAGGACGAACGCUGGCGGCGUGCUUAACACAUGCAAGU
The sequence is a ribosomal RNA, 64 nucleotides long. It matches the Rfam family "Bacterial small subunit ribosomal RNA", at positions 1 to 62 of the family's 1533-position model.